RNAcentral lists this ribosomal RNA (1000 nucleotides) under uncultured bacterium. RNAcentral describes it as "bacterial SSU rRNA". It matches the Rfam family "Bacterial small subunit ribosomal RNA", at positions 505 to 1501 of the family's 1533-position model. The record is from RNAcentral.
GUGCCAGCAGCCGCGGUACUUCGUAGGGGGCAAGCGUUGUCCGGAUUUACUGGGCGUAAAGCGCGUGUAGGCGGCCGCGCAGGUCCGUUGUGAAAACUGGAGGCUCAACCUCCAGACGUCGACGGAAACCGUGUGGCUAGAGUCGGGAAGAGGAGAGUGGAAUUCCUGGUGUAGCGGUGAAAUGCGCAGAUAUCAGGAAGAACACCAAUGGCGAAGGCAGCUCUCUGGGACGGUACUGACGCUGAGACGCGAAAGCGUGGGGAGCGAACAGGAUUAGAUACCCUGGUAGUCCACGCCGUAAACGAUGGGUGCUAGGUGUGGGAGGUGUCGACUCCUUCCGUGCCGUAGCUAACGCAUUAAGCACCCCGCCUGGGGAGUACGGCCGCAAGGCUAAAACUCAAAGGAAUUGACGGGGCCCCGCACAAGCAGCGGAGCAUGUUGUUUAAUUCGAUGCAACGCGAAGAACCUUACCAGGGCUUGACAUGCACUGGAAAUCCGUAGAAAUACGGCCCUCCUUCGGGACCAGUGCACAGGUGGUGCAUGGCUGUCGUCAGCUCGUGUCGUGAGAUGUUGGGUUAAGUCCCGCAACGAGCGCAACCCCUGUCCCAUGUUGCCAGCGAGUGAUGUCGGGGACUCAUGGGAGACUGCCGGUGACAAAUCGGAGGAAGGUGGGGAUGAUGUCAAGUCAUCAUGCCCCUUAUGUCCUGGGCUACAAACGUGCUACAUUGGCCGGUACAAAGGGCUGCAAACCUGCGAGGGUGAGCGAAUCCCAAAAAGCCGGUCCCGGUUCGGAUUGAAGGCUGAAACUCGCCUUCAUGAAGGCGGAGUUGCUAGUAAUCGCGGAUCAGCAACGCCGCGGUGAAUACGUACACGGGGCUUGUACACACCGCCCGUCACACCACGAAAGUCGGCAAUACCCGAAGUCGGUGAGCUAACCCCUCGGGGAGGCAGCCGUCGAAGGUAGGGUUGAUGAUUGGGGUGAAGUCGUAACAAGGUAACC